This 1748-nucleotide ribosomal RNA is filed under the name Salmonella enterica. RNAcentral's name for it is "partial 23S ribosomal RNA". It matches the Rfam family "Bacterial large subunit ribosomal RNA", at positions 1213 to 2925 of the family's 2925-position model. The record is from RNAcentral. Lineage: Bacteria; Pseudomonadati; Pseudomonadota; Gammaproteobacteria; Enterobacterales; Enterobacteriaceae. RNAcentral also lists the same sequence under 3 other names.
GCUGAUGCGUUGUUGGGUAGGGGAGCGUUCUGUAAGCCUGCGAAGGUGACCUGUGAGGGUUGCUGGAGGUAUCAGAAGUGCGAAUGCUGACAUAAGUAACGAUAAAGCGGGUGAAAAGCCCGCUCGCCGGAAGACCAAGGGUUCCUGUCCAACGUUAAUCGGGGCAGGGUGAGUCGACCCCUAAGGCGAGGCCGAAAGGCGUAGUCGAUGGGAAACGGGUUAAUAUUCCCGUACUUGGUGUUACUGCGAAGGGGGGACGGAGAAGGCUAUGUUGGCCGGGCGACGGUUGUCCCGGUUUAAGCGUGUAGGUGUGUGUUCCAGGUAAAUCCGGUUCACUUUAACACUGAGGCGUGAUGACGAGGCACUACGGUGCUGAAGCAACAAAUGCCCUGCUUCCAGGAAAAGCCUCUAAGCAUCAGGUAACAUCAAAUCGUACCCCAAACCGACACAGGUGGUCAGGUAGAGAAUACCAAGGCGCUUGAGAGAACUCGGGUGAAGGAACUAGGCAAAAUGGUGCCGUAACUUCGGGAGAAGGCACGCUGACACGUAGGUGAAGUGAUUUACUCACGGAGCUGAAGUCAGUCGAAGAUACCAGCUGGCUGCAACUGUUUAUUAAAAACACAGCACUGUGCAAACACGAAAGUGGACGUAUACGGUGUGACGCCUGCCCGGUGCCGGAAGGUUAAUUGAUGGGGUCAGCGCAAGCGAAGCUCCUGAUCGAAGCCCCGGUAAACGGCGGCCGUAACUAUAACGGUCCUAAGGUAGCGAAAUUCCUUGUCGGGUAAGUUCCGACCUGCACGAAUGGCGUAAUGAUGGCCAGGCUGUCUCCACCCGAGACUCAGUGAAAUUGAACUCGCUGUGAAGAUGCAGUGUACCCGCGGCAAGACGGAAAGACCCCGUGAACCUUUACUAUAGCUUGACACUGAACAUUGAGCCUUGAUGUGUAGGAUAGGUGGGAGGCUUUGAAGUGUGGACGCCAGUCUGCAUGGAGCCGACCUUGAAAUACCACCCUUUAAUGUUUGAUGUUCUAACGUGGACCCGUAAUCCGGGUUGCGGACAGUGUCUGGUGGGUAGUUUGACUGGGGCGGUCUCCUCCUAAAGAGUAACGGAGGAGCACGAAGGUUGGCUAAUCCUGGUCGGACAUCAGGAGGUUAGUGCAAUGGCAUAAGCCAGCUUGACUGCGAGCGUGACGGCGCGAGCAGGUGCGAAAGCAGGUCAUAGUGAUCCGGUGGUUCUGAAUGGAAGGGCCAUCGCUCAACGGAUAAAAGGUACUCCGGGGAUAACAGGCUGAUACCGCCCAAGAGUUCAUAUCGACGGCGGUGUUUGGCACCUCGAUGUCGGCUCAUCACAUCCUGGGGCUGAAGUAGGUCCCAAGGGUAUGGCUGUUCGCCAUUUAAAGUGGUACGCGAGCUGGGUUUAGAACGUCGUGAGACAGUUCGGUCCCUAUCUGCCGUGGGCGCUGGAGAACUGAGGGGGGCUGCUCCUAGUACGAGAGGACCGGAGUGGACGCAUCACUGGUGUUCGGGUUGUCAUGCCAAUGGCACUGCCCGGUAGCUAAAUGCGGAAGAGAUAAGUGCUGAAAGCAUCUAAGCACGAAACUUGCCCCGAGAUGAGUUCUCCCUGAGACUUAGAGUCUCCUGAAGGAACGUUGAAGACGACGACGUUGAUAGGCCGGGUGUGUAAGCGCAGCGAUGCGUUGAGCUAACCGGUACUAAUGAACCGUGAGGCUUAACCUUACAACGCCGAAG